Molecule: long non-coding RNA, 600 nt
Filed under: Ananas comosus (pineapple)
Lineage: Eukaryota; Viridiplantae; Streptophyta; Magnoliopsida; Poales; Bromeliaceae
Description: long non-coding RNA (ACOM_LNC039920)
Source: RNAcentral
GAUGAUGAGUCACUACGUAUUUUCAUCCUAAUGAAACCCUAGCCGUCUCUUUUACUCAUUACUUUUUUCUAAUUUUUUACUCUUUGUUUUCUACUCUUUUUUUUUUCAUUUUAUUUCCGCCAACAAUAUUUCAUUGUCAUCAUCAUCAUCAGUGUCAUCAUCAUCAUCAUCAGCGACAAUAUUUCUUUUGAAUGAAUUUUAUUGGACGGUACAACUUAUUAGAAUGCGAGUUUUUUUAUAGUGUGCUAUAUAAUUUGUCUAUUGACUAUUUAAUAAAGUUUAUAAAAAAAAUAUAUUUAUACGGAUAUCCGUACCCGAUCUAGACCCGAUCUAUAUCCGGUCUUGAACGGAUAGUAUACGGGUAGUCACUACCUAGACCCGCUCAAAUAGACCCGAUGGGUAUAGUAGUAACUUUAGUACCUAGAUCCAGACCCGACCCGAAGUUAAAUGGGUAGGGUAUAUAUAUUUUUUUGUAACCAUUUCUUUUUAGGGUAUGGGUACAGUAUAUUAAUUACCCAGACCCGACCCGGUCUACAGACAUCUUUAAUAUAAAUAAAUAAAUAUAGAUGGUAAUAAAUGUACUAAUUAAGGAUUGUCAAU